Molecule: small nucleolar RNA, 106 nt
Filed under: Gossypium hirsutum (cotton)
Lineage: Eukaryota; Viridiplantae; Streptophyta; Magnoliopsida; Malvales; Malvaceae
Description: Plant small nucleolar RNA R71
Rfam family: Plant small nucleolar RNA R71
About the family: R71 is a member of the C/D box family of snoRNAs containing the C (UGAUGA) and D (CUGA) box motifs. Multiple nearly identical copies of this snoRNA have been identified in Arabidopsis, and it is thought to function as a 2'-O-ribose methylation guide for 18S ribosomal RNA.
Source: Rfam by way of RNAcentral
AACCCAUGGUGAGGGCACCAUCUCGUAGAUGUUUGCAUCUCUCCCAUGCAUCAUAUAAAGUCUCUAAAUCAAUUUGAACAAAGGAAGAGAUAUCAUUCAUCAACUU